Molecule: RNA transcript, 3512 nt
Organism: Glycine soja
Lineage: Eukaryota; Viridiplantae; Streptophyta; Magnoliopsida; Fabales; Fabaceae
Gene name: putative pentatricopeptide repeat-containing protein At3g01580
Exons: 3
Source: RefSeq, a predicted model, not a curated record
UUUAUGCAGAGCUACUCGUCUGUGUUUUUAUGACUCUUGUUGGGGGAAACUGCAUUAAGUUUACAUUGUUUGUCUUAAAAUGUGGGUUUGGGCCUAACUCAACCCCAAAAGCUAGCUCAUGGGGUGAGGGUUGUCUCCCACUUAUAUAUUCUAUCUUUGCACUAUCUCUACCCACAAUCCAGUUCUUUUACUCAUUGGAUGGUAACAUAAGAAAUUCCAUCCAAUAUUUCCGGCCUUGUUUCAUGUCUAGUAUUGCAUGCUAUGUUAGCCAUUGUGAUUGUCAUCAUUGUGGCAUAAAGUUACCAAGCAGGACAGGAUGUCCGCAUAUAUGCAGUUUGGCUUUCCGUUUUUAUAUCAUUUUUGUAUGUUCUUAAUAGUAGGUAUAUUUUAUUACAAGAUUUAAUUUUAAUUAGGCAUACAAGGCUCUGUGGGCUUUUUGUCUGACCCAUAUGGGCUAUGGCUUGACUCGGUUGGUCCAUUUGACAGUUUUAUCUUAACUGAAACUUUCUUUCACCUUUGCCAUUGAAGUACUCUGCCUGCUAGGUGUGAUGUACUACUACUUGUUUUCCUUUCAUACCUGCUAUGUCUCUUCCUAUUAAACCUCAAGUUGCUUCUGCAAACUAUAUGCUGCUAAAGCCACACACAUAAAGUGGAGCUGAUUGCAUAACUAGAAUAUGAUUGAGAGCUAAUAACUAAUUCAGAUGAUCUUGUAAAGGUUAUAAUCAGUCAUUUUACAUGAAAAGGAGGGAUCUUUUAGUCAAGCUAUUGGAAACUUGCUGCAGUAAGAUAUCAAUCACACAGUUGCACUCACAGUGUUUGAAAGUGGGCCUUGCCCUUGAUAGUUUCGUUGUUACCAAGCUUAAUGUUCUUUAUGCUAGAUAUGCAUCACUUUGCCAUGCACAUAAGCUGUUUGAAGAAACACCUUGUAAAACUGUCUAUCUAUGGAAUGCUUUACUUAGGAGCUAUUUUUUGGAAGGAAAAUGGGUAGAGACGUUAUCUCUAUUCCAUCAAAUGAACGCUGAUGCAGUAACUGAGGAAAGACCUGACAAUUACACAGUGUCUAUUGCUUUGAAAUCAUGUUCUGGUUUGCAGAAGCUUGAGCUGGGAAAAAUGAUUCAUGGAUUUCUCAAGAAGAAGAUAGAUAGUGACAUGUUUGUAGGGUCUGCAUUGAUUGAGUUGUAUUCAAAGUGUGGACAAAUGAAUGAUGCUGUGAAAGUGUUUACAGAGUAUCCAAAACCAGACGUGGUUUUAUGGACUUCAAUAAUUACUGGGUAUGAGCAGAAUGGAAGUCCUGAACUUGCACUUGCGUUUUUCUCCCGAAUGGUUGUGUUGGAGCAAGUAAGUCCUGAUCCAGUAACACUUGUUAGUGCUGCUUCUGCUUGUGCCCAGUUAUCUGAUUUUAACCUUGGAAGAAGUGUACAUGGAUUUGUAAAACGAAGGGGUUUUGAUACUAAGUUAUGUUUGGCCAAUUCUAUUCUAAAUUUAUAUGGAAAAACUGGUUCCAUCAGGAUUGCAGCUAAUUUGUUCAGGGAAAUGCCAUAUAAAGAUAUUAUAUCUUGGAGCUCAAUGGUUGCCUGUUAUGCUGAUAAUGGAGCUGAAACUAAUGCGUUAAAUCUUUUCAAUGAAAUGAUAGAUAAGAGAAUUGAACUCAACAGGGUUACUGUCAUUAGUGCAUUGCGAGCUUGUGCUUCCAGUUCAAAUUUGGAAGAAGGUAAGCAGAUUCAUAAAUUAGCCGUCAAUUAUGGUUUUGAGUUGGAUAUUACUGUCUCUACAGCUCUUAUGGACAUGUACCUGAAGUGCUUCUCACCUGAAAAUGCAAUUGAACUUUUCAACAGAAUGCCCAAGAAGGAUGUAGUUUCUUGGGCUGUUUUGUUUAGUGGCUAUGCUGAAAUUGGAAUGGCACACAAAUCCCUGGGGGUUUUCUGCAACAUGUUAUCUAAUGGAACACGACCUGAUGCUAUUGCUCUAGUGAAGAUUCUUGCUGCUAGUUCAGAAUUGGGGAUUGUUCAACAAGCUUUAUGUCUUCAUGCUUUUGUAACUAAAAGUGGAUUUGACAAUAAUGAAUUUAUUGGAGCGUCACUCAUAGAGUUGUAUGCAAAAUGUAGUAGCAUAGAUAAUGCUAACAAGGUUUUCAAAGGAAUGAGACAUAAAGAUGUUGUUACCUGGAGCUCAAUAAUUGCAGCUUACGGAUUCCAUGGGCAAGGAGAAGAGGCUUUGAAAUUAUUUUAUCAGAUGUCUAAUCAUUCAGAUGUUAAGCCUAAUGAUGUAACCUUCGUCUCAAUUCUAUCUGCCUGUAGUCAUGCAGGUUUGAUUGAAGAAGGGAUAAAGAUGUUUCAUGUCAUGGUGAAUGAAUACCAAUUGAUGCCCAAUAUAGAGCAUUACGGGAUAAUGGUUGAUCUUCUUGGUCGAAUGGGAGAGUUGGAUAAGGCCUUGGAUAUGAUUAAUAACAUGCCCAUGCAAGCUGGGCCUCAUGUAUGGGGAGCCUUACUUGGUGCUUGUCGCAUACAUCAAAAUAUUAAGAUAGGGGAGCUUGCCGCUCUGAAUCUUUUCCUGUUAGACCCUAAUCACGCAGGGUAUUAUACGCUUUUAUCAAAUAUAUAUUGUGUGGACAAGAAUUGGCAUGAUGCUGCAAAACUCAGGACAUUGAUAAAGGAGAAUAGGUUGAAGAAGAUUGUUGGUCAAAGCAUGGUUGAGAUAAAAAAUGAGGUUCACAGUUUCAUAGCUAGUGAUAGAUUCCAUGGUGAAUCUGAUCAGAUUUAUGAAAUGCUGAGAAAAUUAGAUGCAAGAAUGAGAGAAGAAGGUUAUGAUCCUGAUUUACAGACACAAGAAAUACAGUUCUAAUUUUGACUGUGUGGAACAUUAAAUCUGAUGGGGAAGUUGUCUCAUGGCAUUAAGAUUUAUACCAUAAUUUAGAUGGUUGACUUGCUGGUACUGAGAUUGGGGAAGUUAUUUGUGGUCAGAAAUACCUUUGCAAGCGCUUUUUCUGCAGUUUGAUUGCUUCACUCUAAGCAGAAAUUUGAUAAUUAAGUAAAUAAGUUGAGAAGGGCUCAUUAAAGCUUCUUAGUGGCAGACCAAAACAUAAAGUGGAAGUGGAUUUGUUCUGAUGGCGACUAUUGAAAAAUCUUCAACGUAAUCAAACCACUGCUUCAUUGGAAAAUCUUGAUGAAUCUCCUUGAGGGAAAGAAUCUUGAUGAUUUUUCAACAGUGUAUCCUGUCAUUGAAAGUUUCUAGACCAUCACUACUUCAUUGGCCAUCUUCUAUAGCACAGGAUUCCUUUAACAUAUAUUGCUUUUUUUUGCACCUUUUGUUUGUUAUUUUAACUUCUGUGUGCAAGUUUUUCCUUCCUGUGAAGAGGAGCACACUAUACCUGUAGUAUCGUUGUCCUUUGGAUCCUCUCAUGUGACAUAACUAGAAUGUCGGCGGACAGCUUUUAUCUUCUAAUAAUAUCCUGUCUCUCUUUUGACAUGGUAUUCAUCUCAUGAGAUGACCAAAUUUGUCUAUUCAUUUGUGUU